GUGGGCCAGCCCAUGCUCUGGCCAACUCAGAGGAGAUAUGGCAGAAUAUAAGUGUUGUGUUCUAUCGCUGUCUGGAGGGAUUCCACAGCUGGAGAGGAAGGAACACCUCUGUGUGUGACAUCACCGGGACGUGGCAGGCUGCUACACUGCAAUGCCGAGAAAUCAAGCCUGCCAUCAGCGACUUGGUUGUUUUAAUGAAACAUUUUUGCGUUGGAAAGCAGACAAGUAUGAAGAAGACACAGAAAAUUACAGAGUAGCAUUUGUGGGAUUCAGGGACUAUCAAAGGUCAUUCCAUGACAAGAGGAAAGCUCGUCAGCUCCACUUCAGACCACCCUGAUAUCUGCCUGCACCUGCUGCCUGUUACCACCUAUACCAUCAGCAUCACUGCACUGUGCAGGUUCACGUCCACGGUCACAGCUAAAACCAGCCUACAAGAGCCUCGAGCCAAAUAAAUUUUUACAGAGAAGCUGAGGCUUGCCCACUUAGGCUACACAGAUUAACUAACACUCUGGACCCAAUUAGUUUCUACCAGGUGCCACUGGAGGGGACCCGUGUGUUUGACUGCAGCUCUCCUAAGAACCCAGACGCCUCCAGUCAGAGGAAGUCCCAUGGACAGUCCAUCACUUCCCAGGUCCAGCUGAGGGAUGUUGGGAAAGAGAUUACCCUAACUGUGACCGAUGGAUGCUGCUAUUGUGUCUUCUACAAUGCUCCAUUACAGAAUGGCAGAGACUAUUACAUCAUAUUACGAGCUGUUAGUCAAUGGGGAGGGGAUUUCAAGCACACUUGUGAUAUCUGGGCAAAAGUGAGAGGUACAUCCAACAUAAUGCAGGUUUCAUCACUUUUUGCUGGAGGAUCAAUUGGAGUCUUUGCUUUGGUCAUUUGUCUGGGAGACUGUUACACCUGGUUUUGUAAGAAGACAUGACAGUCAUCUUGAUAACUGACUUUUUCAUUUGGGUCAAACUUGGUAAUAUCAGCAUAAUGUUCAAUGACAUCUACCUGUAAUAUUGUAACUGUGUAAAAAAACGUUUAGUAUUAUUAUUUGUGAUAAAAUACAAGUGAACAUGAUUUUAGAAUGAAAUAAAUGCAAUACAAGUACUAUGUUAUAAUAUAUGAUAUGACUGAAGUUGAACAUAGGCCUAUUAGGUUUCUAUUAUACACAAAAUUACAAUAUUUCAUGAAGGAAAAAUAAAUAUUCUGUGAGCAAA
Molecule: long non-coding RNA, 1205 nt
Organism: Coregonus clupeaformis (lake whitefish)
Lineage: Eukaryota; Metazoa; Chordata; Actinopteri; Salmoniformes; Salmonidae
Exons: 8
Source: RefSeq, a predicted model, not a curated record